This 629-nucleotide long non-coding RNA is filed under the name Brassica napus (rape). RNAcentral's name for it is "long non-coding RNA (BNAP_LNC020917)". Lineage: Eukaryota; Viridiplantae; Streptophyta; Magnoliopsida; Brassicales; Brassicaceae. The record is from RNAcentral.
UCCAGCCGGAGUUCCAAUACCACUAGGCCAAGAGCUCUUGGUUCCAUUUCAUAGAUCUUGACCAUCGUAUACUUUCAUUUUACUUGCUGUAUAAACAUAAACCAUUUUAACCAUUUCAUAGAAUAAUACAUUUUCGUACUGUUUUGGAGUUCGGGUAUGUUAUACAUGUUGUUCAUGUAAUAAACAAAACCAACACGAUUUACAUUUUAUAUAUAGUUGUGCCCCUAGAUCUGCCGGUUAUGCCACAUAGAUGUGCCGGUUAAAACAAAACCUGUUCAUAUACUUGCUAAUAUAAUUCAAUCAAAAUUCAAACCAUGGUUUUAUCUUUAAAACCAAUAUAAUAAGAUUUUUCAAAACUAAGAUUCUGUUGCAACAAUAACGGGGACUUGCCAAAACUAAGAUUAUAUUGAAACAACCAAAUCUCAUGUUUGUUUCCUAAAUUUUUGCUAUGAAAUAUCAAAACAACGUUGAAGAAUAUCCUCUAAUAUAUCAAGAUAUCAUUAUCUACGAUAUAACUAACCAUAACAACCGAUCCAAAAUUUUCAACAAUUGAUUUUCUUCCUUGCGAAUAAAGUCAUGGCAUAUUCUCCCUAAAUACCCUAACAAACCUAGCAAUCUAUAUAUAUCGA